Molecule: ribosomal RNA, 371 nt
Filed under: Endomicrobium sp.
Lineage: Bacteria; Pseudomonadati; Elusimicrobiota; Endomicrobiia; Endomicrobiales; Endomicrobiaceae
Description: bacterial SSU rRNA
Rfam family: Bacterial small subunit ribosomal RNA
Source: RNAcentral
UUUAUGGAGAGUUUGAUCCUGGCUCAGAGUGAACGCUGGCGGCGUGCCUAACACAUGCAAGUCGUGCGAGAUUUUGCAGAGUAUCGCAAAGUUUAGCGGCAAACGGGUGAGUAAUACGUAGGGAAUCUUCCUCAAAAUGGGGAAUAUCUCCGAGAAAUCGGAGUCAAUACCGCAUAAUACCAUAGCUUGGCAUCAAGCAGGGGUUAAAGCAGUAAUGCGUUUUGAGAUGGCCCUGCGGCCUAUCAGCUAGUUGGUAGGGUAAAGGCCUACCAAGGCUAUGACGGGUAUCCGGCCUGAAAGGGUGAACGGACACACUGGAACUGAGACACGGUCCAGACUCCUACGGGAGGCAGCAGUGGGGAAUUUUGGAC